GCCGGGCGUGGUGGCGCACACCUGUCAUCCCAGCCACUUGGGAGGCUGAGGCAGAGGAUGGCAAGUUUGAGGCCAGCCUCAG
RNAcentral lists this small RNA (82 nucleotides) under Marmota monax (woodchuck). Lineage: Eukaryota; Metazoa; Chordata; Mammalia; Rodentia; Sciuridae. The record is from RNAcentral.